This 157-nucleotide non-coding RNA is filed under the name Pan troglodytes (chimpanzee). Lineage: Eukaryota; Metazoa; Chordata; Mammalia; Primates; Hominidae. The record is from Rfam by way of RNAcentral.
GCCAGGCGUGGUGAUGCAUGCCUGUAAUCCCAGUUACUCAGGAGGCUGAGGCAGGAGAAUCGCUUGAACCCGGGGGGGUUGGGGGACGGAGGUUGCAGUGAGCCGAGAUCAUGCCAAUGCACUCCAGCCUGGGUGACAGAGUGAGACUCUGUCUCAA